GUAGGUGGCAAGCGUUGUCCGGAAUUAUUGGGCGUAAAGCGCGCGCAGGCGGUUCCUUAAGUCUGAUGUGAAAGCCCACGGGCUCAACCGUGGAGGGUCAUUGGAAACUGGAGAACUUGAGUACAGAAGAGGAAAGCGGAAUUCCACGUGUAGCGGUGAAAUGCGUAGAGAUGUGGAGGAACACCAGUGGCGAAGGCGGCUUUCUGGUCUGUAACUGACGCUGAGGCGCGAAAGCGUGGGGAGCAAACAGGAUUAGAUACCCUGGUAGUCCACGCCGUAAACGAUGAGUGCUAAGUGUUAGGGGGUUUCCGCCCCUUAGUGCUGCAGCUAACGCAUUAAGCACUCCGCCUGGGGAGUACGGCCGCAAGGCUG
RNAcentral lists this ribosomal RNA (372 nucleotides) under uncultured organism. RNAcentral describes it as "partial 16S ribosomal RNA". It matches the Rfam family "Bacterial small subunit ribosomal RNA", at positions 527 to 896 of the family's 1533-position model. The record is from RNAcentral.